RNAcentral lists this ribosomal RNA (503 nucleotides) under uncultured bacterium. RNAcentral describes it as "bacterial SSU rRNA". It matches the Rfam family "Bacterial small subunit ribosomal RNA", at positions 36 to 507 of the family's 1533-position model. The record is from RNAcentral.
CUGGCGGCGUGCUUAACACAUGCAAGUCGAACGAGACGAUUUAGAAGCUUGCUUUUAUUGAGUCGAGUGGCAAACGGGUGAGUAACGCGUAGACAACCUGCCGCAAAGAUGGGGACAACAGUCCGAAAGGACUGCUAAUACCGAAUGUUGUAUCUCCUCCGCAUGGAAGAGAUAUUAAAGAUGGCCUCUACUUGUAAGCUAUCGCUUUGCGAUGGGUCUGCGUCUGAUUAGCUAGUUGGUGGGGCAACGGCCUACCAAGGCGACGAUCAGUAGCCGGUCUGAGAGGAUGAACGGCCACAUUGGAACUGAGACACGGCCCAGACUCCUACGGGAGGCAGCAGUGGGGGAAUCUUCCGCAAUGGACGAAAGUCUGACGGAGCAACGCCGCGUGAACGAUGACGGCCUUCGGGUUGUAAAGUUCUGUUAUACGGGACGAAUGGUACGACGGUCAAUACCCGUCGUAAGUGACGGUACCGUAAGAGAAAGCCACGGCUAACUACGUG